GUUUCUCACAACAAACAGGAAGGAUGUGGAGUUCGCGUGAUGAACCAUAGACAAUGCUUAACAGAUGGGAGAUGAAAAUGCUUAGAAGCGUGUGAUGCGUUUUACAUAUGAGUGGAGCCAAACAAAUGCUACUAGAAUGCCGAUUAUCAGAGAAAGGUUCUGAUGCGCCUAGAUGAAAUUGUGCAGAAUUAUCUGCUCGCGCUGCUGUGGCUGCAACAACUAAGGAGACAACUACUGUACCAACCCACCAUUCAUCUGAUUCAGAAACCAGAGACAGCUGUUUGCUCUUUCACUGCUAGAAUUUCUAUUAUUGAAUACUGGUUCACCAUGAAAUAUUUUCUAGAGCCAGAACAAAAAUAAUGGUUGGCAUGUGUGUAAAUAUUGCAGUCAGUCUCUGUAGGUUUUUAUGCCAUUUUAGUGUAAUGUAAUAUCUGACCAGCGGCCAUCAUAAAAGUGCAGAAUAAUACCUUUAAGUUCCUUUGCAUAUUCAUGAUUACAUUUGAUUCAGGUAAUGCAUGUAUUAAUCUUCUAUUUCAUCCUGUGAAACUACAACACAUGACCUGUUAUGAUUGUCAAUUGUACUAGUACAUGCAGUUUUAUAUAUAUCUCAUCUCAUCUCAUUAUCUCUAGCCGCUUUAUCCUUCUACAGGGUCGCAGGCAAGCUGGAGCCUAUCCCAGCUGACUACAGGCGAAAGGUGGGGUACACCCUGGACAAGUCGCCAGGUCAUCACAGUGCUGACACAGACACAGACAACCAUUCACACCUACGGUCAAUUUAGAGUCACCAGUUAACCUAACCUGCAUGUCUUUGGACUGUGGGGGAAACCGGAGGACCCGGAGGAAACCCACAUGGACACGGGGAGAACAUGCAAACUCCACACAGAAAGGCCCUCGCCGGCCCCCGAACCCAGGACCUUCUUGCUGUGAGGCGACAGCGCUAACCACUACACCACCUUGCCGCCUGUUUUAUAUAUAUAUAUAUAUAUAUAUAUAUAUAUAUAUAUAUAUAUAUAACUACAACACAUGACCUGUUAUGAUUUUUAAGUGUACUAGUACACACGGUUUUAUAUAUAUAUAUUUCACAUUUCUAACCUAACGUGGCUGAUGCAGCUAUUUAUUUGGUUGAAA
This is a long non-coding RNA of Neoarius graeffei (lesser salmon catfish), 1128 nucleotides long. RefSeq lists it as uncharacterized. The record is from RefSeq and is a predicted model, not a curated record. The transcript has 4 exons. NCBI's taxonomy places the organism in Eukaryota, Metazoa, Chordata, Actinopteri, Siluriformes, Ariidae.